This 4572-nucleotide long non-coding RNA is filed under the name Zostera marina. RNAcentral describes it as "long non-coding RNA (ZMAR_LNC000105)". Lineage: Eukaryota; Viridiplantae; Streptophyta; Magnoliopsida; Alismatales; Zosteraceae. The record is from RNAcentral.
CUCGAUUCUAAUCGAGCCUUGGACCAAGCCCAAUAAAAUGGCUUGGACUCUCAUGGUAGACUUUCCACUCUUAAACCAUGAGAGUAUAAAUAUGAGUGGACCCUAAAGGUGGAGGACAGUCGAGUUUUAUUUUAUCCAAGGUAAUUCUCAACGAGAAUUCUUUCCUUCCUUCUUUUAUUUCUUUCUAUUUUUUUCUACCGAAUUUCUUUAUUCUUACCUAUUUUCAGUACACGAUUAUCCUUGGAUUAGGAUAAUCUAAUUUGAAUCAAUCGAUUUGAAGGGAACACAAACCCUACUCAAUUGUUUAUUGUUCCAUUGCUUGGGAAACGCAAAGUCUGGACAGAAAUCGUCCAUUUGGUGCAACUGAUUUAAGGAAGUGUUCGAGGCCUUCAUCAAGUGGUAUAAGGGAAUUGCGAUCUACAAUUGGCCGAGGACAUCAACCAAAAAAAAAAUACACUUUGCGAUUUGCUAUUUGGACAUCAAUCGCGAUCUACGUCUGGACGGAUUUGCGAUUUCACUGUGCGAUCUAGGACUUCAUCAAGUGGUUUGCGAUUUCUGUACGAUUUCACAGAAUAGUGCGAUUUCACAGAACAUUGCGAUUUGCAAUUUCUGUGAUCUGCAUUUUUGAGCACGGACCUGGACGGAUUCUACAUUCUCGCGGACGGACCUGGACGGAUUUGACAACACUUGUAAUCGCGAUUUGCAGUUAGAGGGAUUCACCUUUGCGAUUUUAUUUCUGGACGGAUUUCAGCACACGUGAAGUAGUCCAGCACAUGUGAAAAAAAAAGAGAGAAAAAAGAGAGAAAAAAAGAGAGAAAAAAAAGAGAAAAAAAAAGAGAGAAAAUCUUUGCAAUUUAUUUUAGCGAAUUUUCCUGGACGGAAUUGCGAGCACACGUGAAGAAUUCCAGCAUUUAUUUCUUUACGAUUUAUUCCAGCAUUUUUAAGAUGGCCGAGAACGUCACACGUGAAGAGUUUGAGAGGUUGGCAAAAGUACUAACCGAUUUAACAACCUUUGUUAGGGACGGUUUCCAAACAAUGCAACAGAAUUUGCAACCUAUUCAGCCGCAUGGAGGAGCAGAUCUGGCAGUGAAUGGAGAGGCAGAACCGGCAUUAAACUUCAGAAGAAGAAACCCACCCAUAGCUAGGGAGCGUUUGGAAGAACAGAUCUGGCAGGGGGAAAAUUUCAGGCAGCGUGACAAUUUCAGACAGGAAGAAAAUUUCAGACAGAGAGGACUUUUUAAUAGACAGAUUGAGGCUUCAGUCAGUUUUCGGAAAUUAAAAAAUAAACUCCAAACAACACCAGUAUUGGCUCUUCCGAAUUUUUCUAAAUUUUUUGAAGUAGAAUGUGAUGCCAGCAUUUCUGGAGUAGACGCAGUACUAAGUCAGAGUGGUCAUCCAGUAGCAUUUCACAGUAAGAAACUCACUGCAAGCAGAAAAAAUUGGACCACAUACGAGCAAGAAUUAUAUGCUGUUGUCAGAGCAUGCAAGGUGUGGGAGCUUUAUUUAAUUCAGAGAGAGUUUGUAGUCCUCACUGACCAUAUAGCUUUGAAACAGAUAAAUGGGUCUUCUAAUACUAACAGAAUGCACAACAGAUGGUUUUCCUUCUUACAGAGAUUCGAAUUUACAAUAAAGCAUAGAUCUGGUGCAAACAACAAGGUAGCCGUUGCAUUGAGCAGAAAAAAUUCUUUAUUAACAAUCCUAAGAUUAGAGGUGGUAGCGUUUGAUUGUCUAAAAGAAUUAUAUCCUACUGAUGAAGAUUUUUCGAGAAUUUGGGAGGAAUGCCUUCAGAAAAAACACAAUAAGGGCUUCAGAAUCAAUGAAGGAUUCCUUUUCAAGGAAAAUAGAUUAUGCAUUCCUCAGACAUCCUUGAGACUACAAUUAAUAAGGGAUUUACACUCGGGAGGAUUAGCUGGCCAUUUUGGGAGAGAUAAAACAGUAGCCCAAGUAGAAAGCAGAUAUUAUUGGCCGGGAGUAAGAAAAGAAGUAGAAAAAUUUGUGCAAAGAUGUUCUAGGUGUCAAGAAGCAAAAGGCACUAGUCUGAAUAGUGGUCUUUACACCCCUUUACCAGUAGCUAAAGAACCAUGGACUGACCUCUCUAUGGAUUUUGUCCUUGGGCUACCUAAAACUAGUAAAGGGUUGGAUUCUAUUUUUGUAGCAGUCGAUAGAUUCUCGAAGAUGGUGCACUUUAUUGCUUGUAAAAAAACAAAUGAUGCUUCUCACAUUGCAAAAUUAUUCUUCAAUGAGGUUAUAAGACUUCAUGGCAUUCUAAGUAGCAUCUUAUCAGAUAGGGACAUAAAAUUUCUAUCUCACUUUUGGAGAAUUUUAUGGAAGAGAUUUGACACAAAUCUGAAAUUCAGUUCUACAUGUCACCCACAAUCUGAUGGGCAAACAGAAGUAGUCAACAGGUUUGGAAAUCUAUUAAGAGCACUUGCAGGGAAACAACCAAAACAGUGGGAUCAACAUUUUUUUUGUUUUGAAGCAAUUAAAUUUCAUUAGAAUAAGGCUAAUGCCAAGUUUACAAAAUAGAGAAUAGAAAUAAAAAAUAGAAGUAAAAAGAAAUGAGCAAAAUGCUCAUUGACUCUCUCCCAUUAGCUAUGUAGUCUAGUUAUACAGUAACUAGAUACACUGCCUCAGAAGGUUGGUCUCCCAUACUUCCAUCAUAGAUAUCUCCAAAGGGUGACAACAGCUCUUCUUGUAAUACACUGAAUCAAAAGAGAGACUGAUGUCUUUAAUGACCUCCUUAAGGACUACCUCAGGAGGCCUAUUAAUGUGCUACCUAAACCUUUUAUUUCUUUCCGUCCAUAUAUGCCACGACAAGCACCCAAUAGCAUUCCAUAUUAACCCCCAAGGGGGAGAGUGGCGCAUAAUCUUUUGUGCUGCUUCCGUCAGAUCCCCCAAUCUAAUAUCUGGACUUGAUUGGGUGGGAACUGGAAUAUUCAUUAUUUUCCAGAAAGCGAAAUCCAGCUGUCCCGCCAACGAAAUUAAGAGAGAUCUGGAAUAAGAACAGUUAAAGAAAAGAUGACUCCUAGUUUCAUCUUCCAGAUUACACAGUAAGCAAGCAGGUACUUGUACUCUCCAACUUCUUAAUUUCCUGAACGUGUUUAGAUGACCCCAUUUCACCCUCCACAAGAGAAUAGAGAAUUUUGUUGGCAUCUUCGACCAAAUUCCCUCAGCUAACAUGUCUGUAUGCUUUCUAUCUCUAAUACUUUCCACUAUUCCCCCCAAUUUAUUUAUCGGACUACCAGAUCUCCACAUAAUCGUACUAUUCGCUCUACAAUCCAAACAUUUAUCCACUAAGCUUCUUUCUGAAACAAAAGCUUUCCAAAAAUGCGAAUCCACAGUAGGUCUGAUUUGUAUAUCAUUAAACGCCUUUCCUUUAAUAUACCUAUCUUGGAUCAAUUUUACCAGAAUAGAAUCGCUCUUAUCCCAGUACUUUGAAGCUCUUUUAAUAUUGGUUACAGUGGUGAUAAUAGGAAGGUCUCUAACCCCUAGACCCCCUUUCGACUUGGGAAGGAUCAUUUGGGCCCACGGGAUCCCUUUCCUUCCGUCCCAUAUAAAUCUAUAAGCUAACCUUCUCACCUUCUUAGCCACAGAAUCAGGGAUAGUCAUACCUUGCGCCCAAUAAGUAUACUUUUCAGCUAUUAUCCAGUUAACUAAUUGUAUUCUCCCUCCAUAGGAAAGACAUUUCCCACUCCAUCUUGCUAGGAGCGCCUCUAUAGACUGGAUUAGCUUCCAGCACUGUCCAAAUGGGAUCAAUAUUUAGCUCAAGCGGAAUUUGCCUUUAAUUGCAUGCCAAAUAGAUCAACGGGAUGUGCACCUUUUGUAGCUGCCUAUGACCACCUUCAAAAGAAUAUAAUGGAUGUUACCUCCACACCUUCAGUGAAUAAGAAGGUAGAAGAUAUUAUAGAAUCCAGCAAAUUAAUACACAAGCAAGUAGAAGAAUCAAUAACCAGAGCCAAUGAUCUCUAUAAGGAAAGAGCUGAUAGGUCUAGAAGAUUUCAGACUUUCAAUGAAGGUGAUUUGGUAAUGGUUCACUUAAAAAAAGACAGAUAUUCAGCAGGAUCUUAUUCUAAACUGAAGGACAACAAUUUUAGACCUUGCAAGCUACUAAAGAAGAUUAGUGACAAUGCUUUUGUAGUAGAUCUACCUCCAGAAUUCAACAUGUCAUCAACCUUCAAUGUUGCAGAUUUAAGAAGAUAUUAUCCACCUGCAGAGGAAGAAAACCAAUUGAGGACAAUUGUGUUCCAAGAGGGCUCGCCUGAUGCAGCCCUUAUAAGUGCUUGCAUUAAUAAUAGGCUCGAUUCUAAUCGAGCCUUGGACCAAGCCCAAUAAAAUGGCUUGGACUCUCAUGGUAGACUUUCCACUCUUAAACCAUGAGAGUAUAAAUAUGAGUGGACCUUAAAGGUGGAGGGCAGUUGAGUUUUAUUUUAUCCAAGGUAAUUCUCAACGAGAAUUCUUUCCUUCUUUUAUUUCUUUCUAUUUUUUUCUACCGAAUUUCUUUAUUCUUACCUAUUUUCAGUACACGAUUAUCCUUGGAUUAGGAUAAUCUAAUUUGAAUCAAUCGAUUUGAAG